UGAUGACAAGCAGAGCCAAGUUCACGUCCC
Molecule: non-coding RNA, 30 nt
Filed under: Macaca fascicularis (crab-eating macaque)
Lineage: Eukaryota; Metazoa; Chordata; Mammalia; Primates; Cercopithecidae
Also listed under: 1 other name
Source: RNAcentral